This 474-nucleotide ribosomal RNA is filed under the name uncultured bacterium. RNAcentral describes it as "bacterial SSU rRNA". It matches the Rfam family "Bacterial small subunit ribosomal RNA", at positions 28 to 507 of the family's 1533-position model. The record is from RNAcentral.
GAUGAACGCUAGCUACAGGCUUAACACAUGCAAGUCGAGGGGUCUGCUUCGGCAGACGACCGGCGCACGGGUGAGUAACGCGUAUCCAACCUGCCCUUCAUAUUGGGAUAGCCUCUCGAAAAGGGAGAUUAAUACCGAAUAACAUAAUGUGAUAGCAUUAUUUCAUUAUGAAAGCUCCGGCGAUGAAGGAUGGGGAUGCGUUCCAUUAGGUAGUAGGCGGGGUAACGGCCCACCUAGUCUACGAUGUCUAGGGGUUCUGAGAGGAAGGUCCCCCACACUGGAACUGAGACACGGUCCAGACUCCUACGGGAGGCAGCAGUGAGGAAUAUUGGUCAAUGGUCGGAAGACUGAACCAGCCAAGUAGCGUGAAGGAUGAAGGUUCUAUGGAUUGUAAACUUCUUUUAUACGGGAAUAAAACCUCCCACGUGUGGGAGCUUGUAUGUACCGUAUGAAUAAGCAUCGGCUAACUCCGUG